AGUAUUCUCUGCUACGCUCACGCCAGCAACACCGGGCACAGGCAGUGGCUAUGCCCAGUUCACUCUCCAUAGAGACGGCAGUCUUGUCUACAAGAUAUACAUGACUGGACUACUUGGUCUGACGAUGCUACCAACCAUUCAACUUGAUGCCAGCUCAACCAGCAGCAGCCAACUCUUCUCCCAACUGAGUGGAGUGAUUCUGCUUGAAGCUAGCCAUGGAACGUACCGCGCUGAAGGUCGUCUAGCUCUCUCGGACUACACGAACGGCACAGAUAUUUACCAGUUUCAUCAUCUGUAUACAUCUGCAA
This is a long non-coding RNA of Sycon ciliatum, 308 nucleotides long. RefSeq lists it as uncharacterized. The transcript has 3 exons. The record is from RefSeq and is a predicted model, not a curated record. NCBI's taxonomy places the organism in Eukaryota, Metazoa, Porifera, Calcarea, Leucosolenida, Sycettidae.